GAAGAGAGGGAGCCAUGAUUCUGAAAGGAAGACAUCUCCAAACAACCCAGCAACAGGCCUGAGAUAGUAUUCUGUGAGAUGGCUGCACAGAGGCAAAGCAGAAUGUACACGUGCAUGAAGGAAGUGAUGGGAUGGCUGUGUUGGAGCAGAUGAAUGGAAAUCAAACCACCUUGCAGGUGGCAGGGGUACAAGAUAAUGCAUAGUAUUUCUUGAAAAAGGAAUUUCAGGAGCUGCUGUUGCUGUGGAAUCAUAUGCAAGAACUGAAAGUUGUAGGACAUUUUCUGAAGCAGAAGCUGUACUCUUCUCUGCUCCCUUUGAUUGUAUAUGGAAAUGAACAAAAGCAAGGGGGAAGAGGAGAGAAACAUGUUCAUUCCAUCUCUAGCAAUGGAGUUGUGUCAGUCAGACAGAAUGGAUUUAGCCUUAAUGUACAGAGACCAAGAAGUUCAAAAUGCACAGUAAUCCUACACCAGCAACACAGCAAAUUCAGCUCUCUCCUCUGUUUUCGUGAGUAGCACAGAAUGCUCCUGUCAACUUUCAGAAAAACUAAUGUGGAUGGCAACUAGGACUGAGAAAGAGAUUCUCAUAUACUCAGUCUGAAGCCAUUUUCUAAUGGACUGUAAAUAAAAGUUAAU
Numida meleagris (helmeted guineafowl) is the source of this 632-nucleotide long non-coding RNA. RefSeq lists it as uncharacterized. NCBI's taxonomy places the organism in Eukaryota, Metazoa, Chordata, Aves, Galliformes, Numididae. The transcript has 5 exons. The record is from RefSeq and is a predicted model, not a curated record.